GAUGAACGCUGGCGGCGUGCCUAACACAUGCAAGUCGAGCGAACACACGAGGAGCUUGUUCCUCUGAGGUUAGCGGCGGACGGGUGGGUAACACGUGGAUAGCAUACUUCUAUUUCUUGGAGGACUUCGGGAAACAGGAGCUGCUACUAGAUAAUAUAUUGAACCGCUUGAUUCAAUAGUGCAUGACGGUUUUGCUGUCUCUUAUAGAUGGUUCCGCGCCGGAUUAGCUAGUUGGUAAGGUAACGGCUUACCAAGGCAACGAUGCGUAGCCGACCUGAGAGGAUGAUCGGCCACACUGGAACUGAGACACGGUCCAGACUCCUACGGGAGGCAGCAGUAGGGAAUAUUCGGCAAUGGGCGAAAGCCUGAUGGAGCAACGCCGCGUGAGUGAAGAAGGCCUUCGGAUCGUAAAGCUCUGUUAUUAGGAAAGAAAAACUGUGGAAGUAACUCUGGCCGUUUUGACGGUACCUAAAGAAUAAGCCACGGCUAACUACGUG
This 497-nucleotide ribosomal RNA is filed under the name uncultured bacterium. RNAcentral describes it as "partial 16S ribosomal RNA". It matches the Rfam family "Bacterial small subunit ribosomal RNA", at positions 28 to 507 of the family's 1533-position model. The record is from RNAcentral.